UUGUUCUGAUUAUUAUUAUUAUUAUUUUUUUUUUUUUUUUUCUUCCGCCUAAUUUUUUUUCUUGCGUAGUAUUGUUGUUUAAUAAGUUGUCGCUUAGAUAUUUGGAAUAUGAUGUCGUAUAGUUUAUACGCUUUAAAAAUUGACAACUGCGUAACAAAAUACUUUAUGUUGUAAGAGUUAUCUCCCCAAACACUGUUUUUCUUGUGGCCACUACUCCUUCGCAACCGUAAAAGAUUACGACAAAUUUAUUUUACCAAAUUGCUCGUUACUUCUUCAGGAUUAGGAUAUUCAUUUGAACCGAAGCUAUCUGGAGACUCCAUAUGAGAGUUAUUUCCCCUUAUGCAUUUGAUAUAAGUGAUAUGCGUUUCUAACUGGUAAACCAUCAGUGAUAUAGGCCUAGGGUCUUUGGAUUUAAGUUCCUUGGUCCAAAAAAAUGAAAAUAAGGUCAAGGUCAAAGGUCAAGGUCAUAUUCUAAAUUUUGAUUUUGGCUUAUUUUCUCUUAUUUUCAACAACCGUGAAAGAUAUUGAAAAAUUAUUUUUACUGAAUUGUGAGUUGCGACAUGUUGUAUCUUAUAUUUGGUGGAAGGUGCUAAACAAUAAAUGAGAGUUUUCGCCCAUCUUAUAUUUAAAAUCAUGCCUAAAGUAAUAUAACUCAUUAAUCAUACAAAUUACAGACUUAGGGUCUUUUUAUUUGAGGUCCUUUGUUGGUGACCUUGAAAUUGAAGGUCAAGGUCACAGGUUAAUAGGACGUUCUAGAUUU
This 760-nucleotide long non-coding RNA is filed under the name Mytilus galloprovincialis (Mediterranean mussel). Lineage: Eukaryota; Metazoa; Mollusca; Bivalvia; Mytilida; Mytilidae. The record is from RNAcentral.